Molecule: ribosomal RNA, 445 nt
Filed under: uncultured bacterium
Lineage: Bacteria
Description: partial 16S ribosomal RNA
Rfam family: Bacterial small subunit ribosomal RNA
Source: RNAcentral
GUGAGGAAUAUUGGUCAAUGGGCGCAAGCCUGAACCAGCCAUCCCGCGUGAAGGAAGAAGGCCCUACGGGUUGUAAACUUCUUUUCUGUUUGAAGAAUAAGCUUGUCGAGACAAGUGAUGCCGGUAGGACAGGAAUAAGCAUCGGCUAACUCCGUGCCAGCAGCCGCGGUAAUACGGAGGAUGCAAGCGUUAUCCGGAUUUAUUGGGUUUAAAGGGUGCGCAGGUGGUUGAAUAAGUCAGUGGUGAAAGUCUGGCGCUUAACGUUAGGAUUGCCAUUGAUACUGUUUGACUUGAAUAUGGAUGAGGUAGGCGGAAUGUGUAGUGUAGCGGUGAAAUGCUUAGAUAUUACACAGAACACCGAUUGCGAAGGCAGCUUACUAAUCCAUUAUUGACGCUGAGGCACGAAAGCGUGGGGAUCAAACAGGAUUAGAUACCCUUGUAGUCC